This 4246-nucleotide long non-coding RNA is filed under the name Monomorium pharaonis (pharaoh ant). RNAcentral's name for it is "uncharacterized LOC118647662". The record is from RNAcentral. Lineage: Eukaryota; Metazoa; Arthropoda; Insecta; Hymenoptera; Formicidae.
UCUGUUCCUUACACACAGAUCGACUGUCGGCUCGACAUACUCCCCGAGGGAGGAGACAAUAGGCGAAAUAAUUAUUAUUGUAUACGAGACGGAGAUCGACACGGCCCUGCUACGCGGUGAUUCUAACCUCGGUAUAUCUUGGUUAUUAUCAAUCCGCCCACCGAACGCUCGGUAGGAUAAUUAUUAAAUAAUUUCUCCCGAAAUGCCGGGCCGGCCGUCUCCGUCCUUACCGCCUGAUCGAAGUGGUGGCCUUACAGAUAUGGCGACGUCGUCGAGGACUGUGGAACCGCUCUCUGUGUCGUCUCGCCGAACAGUGACGAACCGUGAGCGGUCGGGAGCGCCCCGGAUAGCGGCUCGCGCAUCGAUCGCGCUUCGAUCCGCGCACACCGAUCACUAGUCAAUGGGGGGUCCUCUGCCAGUCCUACAGGAUCUCAGCAUCCGAGGGCGCCUCUGGUCGUGACGCCGCGCAAUUCAAGGGUUGCGGAUUGCACGCCUCGAUGUCCUUUGCCGUAUCGGCUGCUGCUGGGCCGGCUCGGGGUUGAUCAGGACCCGUCCGGCUUACUCCUCGAGGCGGUGACGACCGCUCCGGCUGGGAUUUCCUCCACCCUGGUCGUCGGGUGUAAGGGCGCACGCUCUCUCCCCGGCGUCGUCUCAGGCUGCACCGGACUGCUGCUCCUUUCUCUAUAAUGGAAUAUAGCGGCAGUAUUUGUCCCACGACUUUUCCUACGUACCUCGGUACUGUACGUAAAUACUUGCCCUGGCUCGCUGUUCUCCGGCUGCCCGGGGCCCCGCCGCUCGCUCGUCUAUGCUUCUUGCUGACAGUUCCUCAACGGCUGCUCCAUAAUUUACAAAUGGUCAUCGUGGCACACCACUUCUCCCGCGGAUCGCGUCUUCCGCUUGGCGGAUACCUAAGUCUUAUGAACUAAAGAAAUAUUACUCAGAAAAGGAGAGGCCGCUCUCCUCCUCGAGGUAACGAGCGGCCCCAAAUGACCUUUCCCGGUCGGGCCAUCCGGCCCUUGUGACUGACGAAAAACGUCACGUCACAGUGUAAGCAACUAUACGGAGAACAGUUUCUUUCAUACAAUGUACAUGGCCUUUUGCACAUAGUCAACGAUGUUAGGCAAUUAGGUUCUUUGGAAACGUUCAGUGCAUUUUGCUACGAGAACAAUAUGCCGGAAUUUCGAAAACAUAUUCGAAAACCGCACCUUGCUCUUCAACAAUUCUAUAAGAGGAUGUGCGAACUAAAUAAUUUUAGUUUUGCACACGUCGAUAACCAUAUCCAAAUUUGUGGUUCUAAACCUCAUGCAGAGGGUCCUCUAGUAGAAUACAUCCUUGCCCGUCUUUGCCAGCAAUUUCGGAAGCUGCAAGUGCGAAAAAUCACAUUUUCAACAUCCACGCGUGAUAAUUGCAUUUUCUUCAAAAUUCUAAUGUCUGCUUAAUAACGAACAUUGUACAAAGGGAAAAAAAUAUUUUUUUCAUUGUUCAAAAAUUUCGUACACAGAUUGCUUUUGCGACGUAGCUUUCCCUCGGGAACCGUCAAGUCCGAAAGGGUUAUGCCCAAUUAAACGGUAACCUUUAUUAUUUUUAACGAGUAACGCUUUCUCAACAAAAAUCGGUAGUUUACGAAAACGGUAUCUCCCCAAUGGAACUUGAAAAAGUUCUCCCCAACGAUAUCGGUAACUCGCGGAAACGGUAUCUCCAAAGGUUCUCUCAACGAUAUCGGUAACUCGCGAAAGCGGUAUUUCCAAAAUAUCGCUCGAGAAUGCUCUCUCCACGAUAUCGGUAACUUGCGUAAACGGUACUUCGCAAUACGAUAUAUUUUGGGCGCCAGGCGCGAGUUUCCGCGCCACACAAUAAUUGACGAUAAUUCGGUAGCCAAAGAGAAAGCGUUACUGAUGCCGGUAGCUCUUUUACUCGAAGCGAUAGAGGGGCGUAGUUCUUAGAUAAACGGGAGCUGUGGAGAUUUCAGAUCAAGGCAGGUCGCAGAAUAGAAUCGGUACACAAUUUUCAAAUAAAUAACAAGGAUCGAAACAUAUUUCUUGAGUGAUGAAAGAAUACGGUAACAAACAGAAAUAAUUGAUACUACUCAACUUAUCGGAACACGAUCAAUUCACGCGACGGAGACGAAAACAAGAAGUUAAGAAUAGUAAAAAUUGCGGAAACUUUAAAAAAUCUACUAUAUAAGGCGAGAGGCCGACGAGGCUCUCUGCUCGAACAACAACAAAUAUAAUAAUUCACGGAAACUGUAUUCGCGAUAACAAGAACUUUACUAUGAACUAAAGAUGACUGUCGGCGCCGGCUUUGUCCGAAAGGGACGAACUUAACUAAUCGAUAUUCGGGGCCGAUCGGUUCAAUCUCUCGUGCGGCAACGAGACUCUAUUCUUUAAUUCGAGUGUCUCUAGCGCAAAAGUAAACACAAAAACGGUAGCGGAUUCCAAAUUACCGGUAACACGACCAAAAGCGGUAUUCUUUAUCCGGACCCGCACGAGAGUCGAUCGCCUUAGCCGAAUUUUACGCAAUUCCUGAGGGCUGCCGAGUGAUGGCCUUACAAUGCAAAAAAUCUUGUCCACCAGAGUCGGUAACAAAAGAGCUGGUCCUCGUCGAUACGCCACGGUACGCAGCUCACCGAACAGUGAGGAACCCCGGUCCCACGCCGUCCGGCUCGAGCCGCCGCGCAGGCGCGUUCAAUUUUCGGAAGGUAGAUCCGCACGCCUCGCCGGAUCCUCGAUCCACCGCAGCGCCUUCAUCCCUCGGAAUUUUCCGGAAUCAGCGCGUGUCGAUUUUCAAAUGCGAGGUCUCAAAAGAGAGAUCUUGUCCUGCCGCUUCGGCUGGUCCGGCUAGCCAGGCCGCGACCGAACCGAUUUUUGUGGCGGGCGGUUGGUAUUGAUACGGCUGCUCCCCCGGUCUGCAGCCCGGUGGCGUGCCCUCGGCGUGAUUCUUCCAGAGGAUCGUCCUGCAUUAACGCGGUAUCCUGACGGAGUCGGUAAUUUCAUAGCUCAGAGACGGCAACGCGCAGCGGGGCCCGACGCACGGCUCGGCGGGGAACUCUUGGCGAGGUGUCCCGUCCACUACCGGUAGAUGACGCCGAAACUCCCACGACGGCUGCUUCUCUUUCGUCGUUGCAACACUCAGAUGUAGCCCUCACUCGGCGCCUUAUUUCUAGUAAAGCUUAACAAAACAAUAUGAGAAAAGUGGUAACGCGAAAGUCAAAGGUACAUUGAAGUUGCUUCCCCCUCGACUCGGCGAGGAGAAGUCCCAGACCGACCCCCUUGAUCGGACUUACGCCCUUGUGAUGAGCGCACUCGAACACGCCACGUCACACUUUAUAUGAUGUUGGACUGAUUUCCGAUUGUGUGAGAGUAUAUAAUUGCUGAAAUCUGUCACAUACAAUCGAGGCAGUCAACUUAAUCGAUGUCAAAGGCAAAAUGUACAGGCUGCCGAAGUGAAGUGGUGUAGAAGGCCAAAAAGAGUGCGUUCUUGCAAAUGAGUAGAUUUGCGUAUCUCUACUUACAUCCCUGAUAAUACCUCAAUAUUAAAUAGAAGAAAUUCUGAAGACAUUACAAUUUACUGACUACUUUUCCAAAAAUAAAAAACCAUACAACACAAUUUAUAGAAAUUUUUUGUGUUAUUCACAUUUUAUUUUUUUUGUGUGUGCAAUGUUUAUUUAAAUAAAGAGUAACAUUAUUGCUUUCAACAAAAAACACGAGAUUAAUAUUUGUUAAAAAUACAUGUAGUUUUAAAUGUAGUUUUAAAUCAUUACAUUUUGUUGUUGUUUAUCGAAAUCGUAGCAACAUGGAAAAUAAAGCAGAAGAAAAGAAAAAAGUUUUCAAAAUUUCGAGCACUGGUGGAGUACUAAAGCCUUCAAGAAAGUUACUGACAUCUUCGGACGAUGAGUCUAAACGCCCAAACAAAAAACCUAAGAGUAAUCCAUAAAACGCAUGAAGUAGGAAAUUGACUGACUAUGACUGAUAGCCAAAAAGUUCGAAAAUGCCGGAGGCAACAAAAAAUAUGUUAAUGCGUCAGAUAGUGAUGAUUCAAAAGUCAUCUUGUGUGAAAAAACGAAGGAAACGUUGUCUGUUUCGGAUGAGCUCUCUUCCGGAUUAGACUCUCCGAUUUUUAAAUGUAGCAUGGAUAUAUCACUUAAUUCUCCAAAAGAGACGAAUCUAACUUACCUCUUCGAAAGUUAACAGUGCUGCCCCGAUUAUUGAUACGAUAGACUCACGUAACUCAAAUGAAAUCCUCGAAA